RNAcentral lists this ribosomal RNA (253 nucleotides) under uncultured bacterium. RNAcentral describes it as "partial 16S ribosomal RNA". It matches the Rfam family "Bacterial small subunit ribosomal RNA", at positions 524 to 776 of the family's 1533-position model. The record is from RNAcentral.
UACGAAGGGGGCUAGCGUUGCUCGGAAUUACUGGGCUUAAAGGGCGCGUAGGCGGGCAAGCAAGUCCGGGGUGAAAGCCCCCAGCUCAACUGGGGAAGUGCCUUGGAAACUGCUUGUCUCGAGGGAGGUAGGGGCCUGUGGAACUUCGGGUGGAGCGGUGAAAUGCGUUGAUAUCCGAAGGAACGCCGGUGGCGAAAGCGACGGGCUGGACCUCUUCUGACGCUGAGGCGCGAAAGCUAGGGGAGCAAACGGG